UACGGAGGGUGCAAGCGUUAUCCGGAAUCACUGGGUUUAAAGGGUGCGUAGGCGGCCUGGUAAGUCAGAGGUGAAAGCUCGCAGCUCAACUGUGGAAUUGCCUUUGAUACUGUCAGGCUUGAAUUAGGCUGAGGUAGGCGGAAUGUGGCAUGUAGCGGUGAAAUGCUUAGAUAUGCCAUAGAACACCAAUUGCGAAGGCAGCUUACUAGACCUAUAUUGACGCUGAGGCACGAAAGCGUGGGGAGCGAACAGG
Molecule: ribosomal RNA, 253 nt
Filed under: uncultured bacterium
Lineage: Bacteria
Description: partial 16S ribosomal RNA
Rfam family: Bacterial small subunit ribosomal RNA
Source: RNAcentral